UUUUAUGGAGAGUUUGAUCCUGGCUCAGGAUGAACGCUGGCGGCGUGCCUAAUACAUGCAAGUCGAGCGAACGGACGAGAAGCUUGCUUCUCUGAUGUUAGCGGCGGACGGGUGAGUAACACGUGGAUAACCUACCUAUAAGACUGGGAUAACUUCGGGAAACCGGAGCUAAUACCGGAUAAUAUUUUGAACCGCAUGGUUCAAAAGUAAAAGACGGUCUUGCUGUCACUUAUAGAUGGAUCCGCGCUGCAUUAGCUAGUUGGUAAGGUAACGGCUUACCAAGGCAACGAUGCAUAGCCGACCUGAGAGGGUGAUCGGCCACACUGGAACUGAGACACGGUCCAGACUCCUACGGGAGGCAGCAGUAGGGAAUCUUCCGCAAUGGGCGAAAGCCUGACGGAGCAACGCCGCGUGAGUGAUGAAGGUCUUCGGAUCGUAAAACUCUGUUAUUAGGGAAGAACAUAUGUGUAAGUAACUGUGCACAUCUUGACGGUACCUAAUCAGAAAGCCACGGCUAACUACGUGCCAGCAGCCGCGGUAAUACGUAGGUGGCAAGCGUUAUCCGGAAUUAUUGGGCGUAAAGCGCGCGUAGGCGGUUUUUUAAGUCUGAUGUGAAAGCCCACGGCUCAACCGUGGAGGGUCAUUGGAAACUGGAAAACUUGAGUGCAGAAGAGGAAAGUGGAAUUCCAUGUGUAGCGGUGAAAUGCGCAGAGAUAUGGAGGAACACCAGUGGCGAAGGCGACUUUCUGGUCUGUAACUGACGCUGAUGUGCGAAAGCGUGGGGAUCAAACAGGAUUAGAUACCCUGGUAGUCCACGCCGUAAACGAUGAGUGCUAAGUGUUAGGGGGUUUCCGCCCCUUAGUGCUGCAGCUAACGCAUUAAGCACUCCGCCUGGGGAGUACGACCGCAAGGUUGAAACUCAAAGGAAUUGACGGGGACCCGCACAAGCGGUGGAGCAUGUGGUUUAAUUCGAAGCAACGCGAAGAACCUUACCAAAUCUUGACAUCCUUUGACAACUCUAGAGAUAGAGCCUUCCCCUUCGGGGGACAAAGUGACAGGUGGUGCAUGGUUGUCGUCAGCUCGUGUCGUGAGAUGUUGGGUUAAGUCCCGCAACGAGCGCAACCCUUAAGCUUAGUUGCCAUCAUUAAGUUGGGCACUCUAAGUUGACUGCCGGUGACAAACCGGAGGAAGGUGGGGAUGACGUCAAAUCAUCAUGCCCCUUAUGAUUUGGGCUACACACGUGCUACAAUGGACAAUACAAAGGGCAGCGAAACCGCGAGGUCAAGCAAAUCCCAUAAAGUUGUUCUCAGUUCGGAUUGUAGUCUGCAACUCGACUACAUGAAGCUGGAAUCGCUAGUAAUCGUAGAUCAGCAUGCUACGGUGAAUACGUUCCCGGGUCUUGUACACACCGCCCGUCACACCACGAGAGUUUGUAACACCCGAAGCCGGUGGAGUAACCUUUUAGGAGCUAGCCGUCGAAGGUGGGACAAAUGAUUGGGGUGAAGUC
RNAcentral lists this ribosomal RNA (1507 nucleotides) under Staphylococcus aureus. RNAcentral's name for it is "partial 16S ribosomal RNA". It matches the Rfam family "Bacterial small subunit ribosomal RNA". Lineage: Bacteria; Bacillati; Bacillota; Bacilli; Caryophanales; Staphylococcaceae. The record is from RNAcentral.